GCCGGUGCUUCACAUAGAUCCGGCGCAUCCGGCGGAGCCGGGGAACCGGGCGGCCGCGGCGUAUUUGCAAGACGCUGCCGCCGUUUACAUA
RNAcentral lists this small RNA (91 nucleotides) under uncultured Lachnoclostridium sp. RNAcentral describes it as "COG2827 RNA". It matches the Rfam family "COG2827 RNA". From Rfam's summary of the family: Clostridiales. Nearby to self-splicing intron genes Lineage: Bacteria; Bacillati; Bacillota; Clostridia; Lachnospirales; Lachnospiraceae. The record is from RNAcentral.